RNAcentral lists this ribosomal RNA (497 nucleotides) under uncultured bacterium. RNAcentral's name for it is "partial 16S ribosomal RNA". It matches the Rfam family "Bacterial small subunit ribosomal RNA", at positions 28 to 507 of the family's 1533-position model. The record is from RNAcentral.
GAUGAACGCUGGCGGCGUGCCUAAUACAUGCAAGUCGAGCGAACGGACGAGAAGCUUGCUCCUCUGAUGUUAGCGGCGGACGGGUGAGUAACACGUGGAUAACUUCCCUAUAAGACUGGGAUAACUUCGGGAAACCGGAGCUAAUACCGGAUAAUAUUUUGAACCGCAUGGUUCAAAAGUGAAAGACGGUUUUGCUGUCACUUAUAGAUGGAUCCGCGCUGCAUUAGCUAGUUGGUAAGGUAACGGCUUACCAAGGCAACGAUGCGUAGCCGACCGGAGAGGGUGAUCGGCCACACGGGAACUGAGACACGGUCCAGACUACUACGGGAGGGAGCAGUAGGGAAUGUUCCGCAAUGGGCGAAAGCCUGACGGAGCAACGCCGCGUGAGUGAUGAAGGUCUUCGGAUCGUAAGACUCUGUUAUUAGGGAAGAACAAAUGUGUAAGUAACUAUGCACGUCUUGACGGUACCUGAGCAGAAAGCUACGGCUAACUACGUG